GACGAACGCUGGCGGCGUGCUUAACACAUGCAAGUCGAACGGAAAGGCCCUGCUUUUGUGGGGUGCUCGAGUGGCGAACGGGUGAGUAACACGUGAGUAACCUGCCCUUGACUUUGGGAUAACUUCAGGAAACUGGGGCUAAUACCGGAUAGGAGCUCCUGCUGCAUGGUGGGGGUUGGAAAGUUUCAGUGGUUGGGGAUGGACUCGCGGCUUAUCAGCUUGUUGGUGGGGUAGUGGCUUACCAAGGCUUUGACGGGUAGCCGGCCUGAGAGGGUGAGCGGCCACAUUGGGACUGAGAUACGGCCCAGACUCCUACGGUAUGCAGCAGUGGGGAAUAUUGCACAAUGGGCGGAAGCCUGAUGCAGCAACGCCGCGUGCGGGAUGACGGCCUUCGGGUUGUAGACCGCUUUCGCCUGUGACGAAGCAUGAGUGACGGUAAUGGGUAAAGAAGCACCGGCUAACUACGUG
This 468-nucleotide ribosomal RNA is filed under the name uncultured bacterium. RNAcentral's name for it is "partial 16S ribosomal RNA". It matches the Rfam family "Bacterial small subunit ribosomal RNA", at positions 28 to 507 of the family's 1533-position model. The record is from RNAcentral.